RNAcentral lists this ribosomal RNA (458 nucleotides) under uncultured bacterium. RNAcentral's name for it is "partial 16S ribosomal RNA". It matches the Rfam family "Bacterial small subunit ribosomal RNA", at positions 338 to 795 of the family's 1533-position model. The record is from RNAcentral.
CCUACGGGUGGCAGCAGUGAGGAAUAUUGGUCAAUGGGCGAGAGCCUGAACCAGCCAAGUCGCGUGAGGGAGUACUGCCCUAUGGGUUGUAAACCUCUUUUGUCGGGGAGCAAAAGCCGGACGUGUCCGGCUGUGAGAGUACCCGAAGAAAAAGCAUCCGCUAACUCCGUGCCAGCAGCCGCGGUAAUACGGAGGCUGCGAGCGUUAUCCGGAUUUAUUGGGGUUAAAGGGUGCGCAGGCGGAUUGUUAAGUCAGCGGUAAAAUCGUGGGGCUCAACCCCAUCCAGCCGUUGAAACUGGGGAUCUUGAGUGGGCGAGAAGUAUGCGGAAUGCGUGGUGUAGCGGUGAAAUGCAUAGAUAUCACGCAGAACUCCGAUUGCGAAGGCAGCAUACCGGCGCCCAACUGACGCUGAAGCACGAAAGCGUGGGUAUCGAACAGGAUUAGAUACCCGGGUAGUC